Molecule: ribosomal RNA, 266 nt
Filed under: uncultured prokaryote
Description: partial 16S ribosomal RNA
Rfam family: Bacterial small subunit ribosomal RNA
Source: RNAcentral
UACGUAGGUGGCAAGCGUUAUCCGGAAUUAUUGGGCGUAAAGAGCGCGCAGGUGGUUGAUUAAGUCUGAUGUGAAAGCCCACGGCUUAACCGUGGAGGGUCAUUGGAAACUGGUUGACUUGAGUGCAGAAGAGGGAAGUGGAAUUCCAUGUGUAGCGGUGAAAUGCGUAGAGAUAUGGAGGAACACCAGUGGCGAAGGCGGCUUCCUGGUCUGUAACUGACACUGAGGCGCGAAAGCGUGGGGAGCAAACAGGAUUAGAUACCCCU